This is a long non-coding RNA of Cyprinodon tularosa, 124 nucleotides long. RefSeq lists it as uncharacterized. NCBI's taxonomy places the organism in Eukaryota, Metazoa, Chordata, Actinopteri, Cyprinodontiformes, Cyprinodontidae. The transcript is spliced from 3 exons. The record is from RefSeq and is a predicted model, not a curated record.
CUGUUCAGAUUCCGUGGGAGAAGGAGCUGUGGAGCACUGUGACAACAAAGCCUGUUCUGAAAUACUAUUUCUAUUUGAAUGCAGGAGCAUUAAAAGUAUCAUCGGAUCAGCUGUUGUCCGGCUA